UGGCCUCCUGGCUGUAUAGGCUUCUAUGUAAAGGAAAAGGCAGAGUGGUCUUUUUUCAGUUCAUGCUUGGCAGGAAAGAAAUUGUUUUCAACAAGUAACAUUUUUUCAUUUUAUUUAAACAUCUGCAGUAGCUUCUUUGUGCAAAGGAAAAUGAACUCUGUGGACCUUUCACUGGUGCUGCAAGCAGCACCGUAUUCUUUUCAUAGAGCGGUGAGGAAACAGCAUAAAUCCAAGCCAAACCGAUAUGAUGGGACUUCUCUACUUUAACUUCUUAAGAGCUGUGACACUAAACGAAGACUUUUGGCAGCGUAGCGUUGUUACAGAGGACUGAACGGACCCCGCAGAUCCCCCGCCACGAGAACCCUGGCAGCGCAGCUCUGGGAUCGCUGUUGACGACCCGUGCUGUUUCUGAACCUCCUGCGCUUAUGACCAGUGAGUCUGCCAGUGCCAAGGGCUGAGGAUGAAGAGGGAAGGCAGGAGGAAGAAGAGAGUGUUCCGGAAACAUGUCACAUAGACUAUCAUUCAUCUCCACGGUCAGGUAGCAAAAUAAUACAAAUUCGUCCCAUCAGAACCCAGAAGAGGAGCCACAAUGCAUUAAAUUCAGAGUACCUACACCACUAAAACACGGCUCUGUAAUGUGUUCCCCGUAUGUUUUAUUGAUAUUGGAGGAGAAUAGUCUUUGCGCUGCCCUGAGGAACCUUCACAAAGCAGAUUAUCUUUUCUUUGGCAUGUACUCUGACUUGGUGCUGCUUUCCAGGAGGGUAUGUGUUUG
Long non-coding RNA from Oreochromis aureus, 772 nucleotides. The record is from Ensembl. Lineage: Eukaryota; Metazoa; Chordata; Actinopteri; Cichliformes; Cichlidae.